Styela clava is the source of this 382-nucleotide long non-coding RNA. RefSeq lists it as uncharacterized. The record is from RefSeq and is a predicted model, not a curated record. NCBI's taxonomy places the organism in Eukaryota, Metazoa, Chordata, Ascidiacea, Stolidobranchia, Styelidae.
AUAAUAUCUAAGACAAAGCGACGCUUGUGGAAAAGAAGCAUUGCCAUGAAAUCCAUCUUUGUUGUUGUCCUUGUGACGGCCGCAAUGGUCUGUGCCUGCGAAGGAUAUUCUUGCAGAACAAAAUGCGGGUCGCCGCCAGCCUGUACCAGAAACUGCCAAGCCACAGCAUGGUAUUAUGAUCAUGAGAUCUGCGGAUGCGGAACGAUAAAAACCAGCAAGUACGAUAUAAAACCAGAGAAUAAGCUCUUCUUCACGAAAAGUCAAUGUCAGAAAGUUUGUGGAGUUUAGAAUCAAGUUGGAAGCAUCCCAUCGCUUGUUACAGUGUUGUGUACUGAAUUUUGUUCUAUAUGUGCAAAAUAAACGAAAAAUCGUGACUCGAAUC